AAUCAAUGAUGAAAAUAGCCAAAUCUGAGCAUCAGAAGACCUUCCAGUCUACCGGAUACAUCUUGCUUUUAAAA
This 74-nucleotide small nucleolar RNA is filed under the name Vulpes vulpes (red fox). RNAcentral describes it as "Small nucleolar RNA U2-19 (ENSVVUG00000004079.1)". It matches the Rfam family "Small nucleolar RNA U2-19". From Rfam's summary of the family: U2-19 is a member of the C/D class of snoRNA which contain the C (UGAUGA) and D (CUGA) box motifs. The record is from Rfam by way of RNAcentral. Lineage: Eukaryota; Metazoa; Chordata; Mammalia; Carnivora; Canidae.